UACAGAGGGUGCAAGCGUUAAUCGGAAUUACUGGGCGUAAAGCGCGCGUAGGUGGUUUGUUAAGUUGGAUGUGAAAGCCCCGGGCUCAACCUGGGAACUGCAUUCAAAACUGACAAGCUAGAGUAUGGUAGAGGGUGGUGGAAUUUCCUGUGUAGCGGUGAAAUGCGUAGAUAUAUGAAGGAACACCAGUGGCGAAGGCGACCACCUGGACUGAUACUGACACUGAGGUGCGAAAGCGUGGGGAGCAAACAGG
RNAcentral lists this ribosomal RNA (253 nucleotides) under uncultured bacterium. RNAcentral describes it as "partial 16S ribosomal RNA". It matches the Rfam family "Bacterial small subunit ribosomal RNA", at positions 524 to 776 of the family's 1533-position model. The record is from RNAcentral.